AGUCACAGUCACAUCAUCUUGCAGCCCAAGACUGAAGCUAAGCAAGUCUGAGCCUGGUUAGUACCUGGAUGGGAGCCCACAUGGGAAAACUAGGUUGCUGUUGGAA
Molecule: ribosomal RNA, 106 nt
Filed under: Danio rerio (zebrafish)
Lineage: Eukaryota; Metazoa; Chordata; Actinopteri; Cypriniformes; Danionidae
Source: RNAcentral